Molecule: unclassified non-coding RNA, 255 nt
Filed under: uncultured fungus
Lineage: Eukaryota; Fungi
Description: partial contains small subunit ribosomal RNA, internal transcribed spacer 1, and 5.8S ribosomal RNA
Rfam family: Eukaryotic small subunit ribosomal RNA (bases 1-73)
Source: RNAcentral
GCAAACUUGGUCAUUUAGAGGAAGUAAAAGUCGUAACAAGGUAACCGUAGGUGAACCUGCGGUUGGAUCAUUAACAAAUGACAGAGGGUCUUCAAGACCUCUCUUCAACACCUUGUGAAUUGUAAUAGUCUCUGGCGAGUUCCGCUCGCAUGUUUAAAACUUGUAGUAAAACUUUAGUCUAAAAAGCCUAUAUGAGUAAUCUAAACAACUUUUAACAACGGAUCUCUAGGCUCUCGCAUCGAUGAAGAACGCAGC